CCACACAUCUUCACAAAGCUUUAUAAAUCUUUGCUCAAAUGUCAUCUCCUCAGAGAGGCCUUCCCAAACCACACUGUCUAAAUCGGCACCCGCCCUUCUCCAUCUCCUACUCUUUUUUUUUUUUUUUUUUUUUUUUUUUUUAGAGAUAGGGUCUUGGCUGGGCAUGGUGGCUCACGCCUGGAAUCCCAGCACUUUGGGAGGCCA
RNAcentral lists this long non-coding RNA (204 nucleotides) under Homo sapiens (human). RNAcentral describes it as "non-protein coding lnc-WDR62-1:1". Lineage: Eukaryota; Metazoa; Chordata; Mammalia; Primates; Hominidae. The record is from RNAcentral.